AUUGAACGCUGGCGGCAGGCCUAACACAUGCAAGUCGAGCGAGCGGCGGACGGGUGAGUCCUGUCUGGGAAACUGCCUGAUGGGGGGGGAUAACUGCUGGAAACGGUAGCUAAUCACGCAUACCAUCAGAUGUGCCCAGAUGGGAUUAGCUGGUAGGUGGGGUAACGGCUCACCUAGGCGACGAUCCCUAGCUGGUCUGAGAGGAUGACCAGCCAAACUGGAACGGAGACACGGGCCAGACUCCUACGGGAGGCAGCAGUGGGGAAUAUUGGACAAUGGGCGCAAGCCUGAUGCAGCCAUGCCGCGUGUGUGAAGAAGGCCUUCGGGUUGUAAAGCACUUUAAGCUGGGAGGCGUUACCCGCAGAAGAAGCACCGGCUAACUCCGUGCCAGCAGCCGCGGUAAUUC
Molecule: ribosomal RNA, 406 nt
Filed under: uncultured bacterium
Lineage: Bacteria
Description: partial 16S ribosomal RNA
Rfam family: Bacterial small subunit ribosomal RNA
Source: RNAcentral